UAGGGAAUCUUCGGCAAUGGACGGAAGUCUGACCGAGCAACGCCGCGUGAGUGAAGAAGGUUUUCGGAUCGUAAAGCUCUGUUGUAAGAGAAGAACGAGUGUGAGAGUGGAAAGUUCACACUGUGACGGUAUCUUACCAGAAAGGGACGGCUAACUACGUGCCAGCAGCCGCGGUAAUACGUAGGUCCCGAGCGUUGUCCGGAUUUAUUGGGCGUAAAGCGAGCGCAGGCGGUUAGAUAAGUCUGAAGUUAAAGGCUGUGGCCUAACCAUAGUAGGCUUUGGAAACUGUUUAACUUGAGUGCAAGAGGGGAGAGUGGAAUUCCAUGUGUAGCGGUGAAAUGCGUAGAUAUAUGGAGGAACACCGGUGGCGAAAGCGGCUCUCUGGCUUGUAACUGACGCUGAGGCUCGAAAGCGUGGGGAGCAAACAGGAUUAGAUACCCUGGUAGUCCACGCUGUAAACGAUGAGUGCUAGGUGUUAGACCCUUUCCGGGGUUUAGUGCCGUAGCUAACGCAUUAAGCACUCCGCCUGGGGAGUACGACCGCAAGGUUG
RNAcentral lists this ribosomal RNA (550 nucleotides) under uncultured bacterium. RNAcentral's name for it is "bacterial SSU rRNA". It matches the Rfam family "Bacterial small subunit ribosomal RNA", at positions 355 to 896 of the family's 1533-position model. The record is from RNAcentral.